UACGGAGGGUGCAAGCGUUAUCCGGAUUUACUGGGUUUAAAGGGUGCGUAGGAGGGCAGGUAAGUCAGUGGUGAAAUCCCCGAGCUUAACUUGGGAACUGCCGUUGAUACUAUCUGUCUUGAAUAUUGUGGAGGUGAGCGGAAUAUGUCAUGUAGCGGUGAAAUGCUUAGAUAUGACAUAGAACACCAAUUGCGAAGGCAGCUCGCUACACAUAUAUUGACUCUGAGGCACGAAAGCGUGGGGAUCAAACAGG
This 253-nucleotide ribosomal RNA is filed under the name uncultured bacterium. RNAcentral's name for it is "partial 16S ribosomal RNA". It matches the Rfam family "Bacterial small subunit ribosomal RNA", at positions 524 to 776 of the family's 1533-position model. The record is from RNAcentral.